GAUGAACGCUGGCGGCGUGCCUAACACAUGCAAGUCGAACGCUCGCAAGAGAGUGGCGCACGGGUGAGUAACACGUAGCUAAUCUGCCCUCAAGACAAGGAUAACUGUAGGAAACUACUGCUAAUACUUGAUAAGCUUACGGACUGUAGAGGUCUAUAAGAAAGAUUUAUCGCUUGAGGAUGAGGCUGCGCGCCAUCAGCUAGUUGGUAAGGUAAUGGCUUACCAAGGCGACGACGGCUAGGGGACCUGAGAGGGUGACCCCCCACACUGGGACGUGAGACACGGCCCAGACUCCUACGGGAGGCAGCAGUGAGGAAUAUUGCUCAAUGGGCGCAAGCCUGAAGCAGCGACGCCGCGUGGAUGAAGAAGGUUUUCGGACUGUAAAAUCCUUUCUGUGUGACGAGAGUGGACGGUAGCACAGGAAUAAGUCUCGGCUAACUACGUGCCAGCAGCCGCGGUAAU
RNAcentral lists this ribosomal RNA (462 nucleotides) under uncultured bacterium. RNAcentral describes it as "bacterial SSU rRNA". It matches the Rfam family "Bacterial small subunit ribosomal RNA", at positions 28 to 524 of the family's 1533-position model. The record is from RNAcentral.